CUCUUGUCACUACCUCUUAAAAUGCAAUUGACAAUAUUUGGAGAAACGUGUAAAUAAAACAAUUUGCAUCUCAGAAUUUUGUGUGGGUGUAAGAGGUGUAUUGCCAUAUG
This 110-nucleotide microRNA precursor is filed under the name Medicago truncatula (barrel medic). RNAcentral's name for it is "miR5296 stem-loop (mtr-MIR5296)". Lineage: Eukaryota; Viridiplantae; Streptophyta; Magnoliopsida; Fabales; Fabaceae. The record is from miRBase by way of RNAcentral.